GGUUCCGUGGUGUAGUGGUUAUCACGUUUCGUUUACAGUAAUGUAAACUCUGAUCCGAAAAGGUCGCGCGUUCGAUCCGCGCCGGAAUCA
Non-coding RNA from Xylona heveae TC161, 90 nucleotides. NCBI's taxonomy places the organism in Eukaryota, Fungi, Ascomycota, Xylonomycetes, Xylonales, Xylonaceae. The record is from the annotation of a RefSeq genome assembly.